CCUACGGGAGGCUGCAGUGGGGAAUAUUGCACAAUGGGCGCAAGCCUGAUGCAGCCAUGCCGCGUGUGUGAAGAAGGCCUUCGGGUUGUAAAGCACUUUCAGCGGGGAGGAAGGCGUUAAGGUUAAUAACCUUGGCGAUUGACGUUACCCGCAGAAGAAGCACCGGCUAACUCCGUGCCAGCAGCCGCGGUAAUACGGAGGGUGCAAGCGUUAAUCGGAAUUACUGGGCGUAAAGCGCACGCAGGCGGUCUGUCAAGUCGGAUGUGAAAUCCCCGGGCUCAACCUGGGAACUGCAUUCGAAACUGGCAGGCUAGAGUCUUGUAGAGGGGGAUAGAAUUCCAGGUGUAGCGGUGAAAUGCGUAGAGAUCUGGAGGAAUACCGGUGGCGAAGGCGGCCCCCUGGACAAAGACUGACGCUCAGGUGCGAAAGCGUGGGGAGCAAACAGGAUUAGAUACCCUAGUAGUC
Molecule: ribosomal RNA, 465 nt
Filed under: uncultured Klebsiella sp.
Lineage: Bacteria; Pseudomonadati; Pseudomonadota; Gammaproteobacteria; Enterobacterales; Enterobacteriaceae
Description: bacterial SSU rRNA
Rfam family: Bacterial small subunit ribosomal RNA
Source: RNAcentral